CCACCACCAAAGCAUUUGCUGUACCGCGUUGACGGAGCGAAGCGACGUCAAACCGAUAAAACAGCAGUGUAAAGUGAGCCGCAGGGCGCUUUGCGCGACAGCGCAAAGGCAGGCGGUUUCGCGUAGCGAAAGCGAAUGCUUUGGGGUGGGGUGACUGCGUACCUUUUGUAUAAUGGGUCAGCGACUUAUAUUCUGUAGCAAGGUUAACCGAAUAGGGGAGCCGGAGGGAAACCGAGUCUUAAUUGGGCGUUAAGUUGCAGGGUAUAGACCCGAAACCCGGUGAUCUAGCCAUGGGCAGGUUGAAGGGUGGGUAACACUAACUGGAGGACCGAACCGACUAAUGUUGAAAAAUUAGCGGAUGACCUGUGGCUGGGGGUGAAAGGCCAAUCAAACCGGGAGAUAGCUGGUUCUCCCCGAAAGCUAUUUAGGUAGCGCCUCGUGAAUUCAUCUCCGGGGGUAGAGCACUGUUUCGGCUAGGGGGCCAUCCCGGCUUACCAACCCGAUGCAAACUGCGAAUACCGGAGAAUGUUAUCACGGGAGACACACGGCGGGUGCUAACGUCCGUCGUGAAGAGGGAAACAACCCAGACCGCCAGCUAAGGUCCCAAAGUCAUGGUUAAGUGGGAAACGAUGUGGGAAGGCCCAGACAGCCAGGAUGUUGGCUUAGAAGCAGCCAUCAUUUAAAGAAAGCGUAAUAGCUCACUGGUCGAGUCGGCCUGCGCGGAAGAUGUAACGGGGCUAAACCAUG
RNAcentral lists this ribosomal RNA (747 nucleotides) under Salmonella enterica subsp. enterica serovar Enteritidis. Its description in RNAcentral is "partial 23S ribosomal RNA". The stretch from base 79 to 747 matches the Rfam family "Bacterial large subunit ribosomal RNA", at positions 1 to 1191 of the family's 2925-position model. Lineage: Bacteria; Pseudomonadati; Pseudomonadota; Gammaproteobacteria; Enterobacterales; Enterobacteriaceae. The record is from RNAcentral.